This 1082-nucleotide long non-coding RNA is filed under the name Pan troglodytes (chimpanzee). RNAcentral describes it as "lincRNA". The record is from RNAcentral. Lineage: Eukaryota; Metazoa; Chordata; Mammalia; Primates; Hominidae.
GAGUUUAUUACAGAUAUUUUGUUCUUGACCUUUGACACUUGCCAUUUAGCAAUUGCAUGGUUUUACUUUUGUGGUUGUAGAGUUUCUGCUUUUCUUUCAUUAGAAUGAUAUAAGUAAAGGAAUAGAAACUGUUAUAUUUGCAAAAAAAGAGCAAAGAUGCUUUGUGACCUUGGGAAUUAUAUUUGAAGGUUACUCACAAGAGAAUACCUUGUUUAGGAAAGAUGGUUAAUUUUUUUCUUGCAAGCAGUCUUUUUUACAAAAUUAGUUAAUGGCAAAUGUGUUCUUUGCUGAAUAUUAAUCUAUAGUAUCAUUUAAGAUGUUCUUAAUUUAUGUUUCUGGACUUCGUUUAAAUGUCAAACUCUAGAAAGGGUAAACUAGCUCACCCCACUGCUAGGUAAUAGCUAGUAUUGUCUUCGCUGCAGGGCAUUUUACGGUAAAAUUUUGAAGUAUAUUGAAAAAAGUUACCAGUUCACUUACUAUACAAUAGCUUAGAAUGUGAAUGUCUGAAAGAAGAAAAAUUCAAUAAAUGACUAUGUAGUUAUUUGGUGGAAUUCACAACAUAAUAACAAGAAAAGGUUUUCAGCUUUGAUCAUAAUGGAAAUGAGUCAUUUAAUUUUACCCUCAGUCCUGGUACACAGUUUCAGCACCUGCUAAGAAGUCGGCUUGCAUUUAAAUGACUUAAGCAAUUAUUAAAAGCAAGUUUCAAGAAAUAAAUGGCAUUUAUAUAAAAAGGAGACUGGGUUCAAACUGCUAGUGCUUUAAAUUUCCAUAAAAGCAAAUUCAAGUUCAGAACAGGAUUCAGGAUUUAGUAACAAUUCAAAGGUUUUCAAUCCCUUAAUCUCUUUGUGAUAACUAUAUUCAUCAUUUAGCCAUUUUUAAAAGGAAGAGAAUAAAAACGUUAACAUUGAUGUCUACCAGCACUUGUGACUGAAAAAUUGAUUAUAUAUGGUAAAUACUUAUGGCUCCAAAUAGCUAUUUGAUUUAUAAUUUUGGUAUUGAAAUGUAAUGAAAUACUUCUAUUGUAUUUGCAAUCGCUGGAAGAGUAGUAUGAAUCAUACUUCAAAUAAAAAUACUUCUUUUUA